UAAUAAUUUAAUUUCAGUUAAUUAAUUAGUUAUAUUAAUUGGUCUAUAAAUUUAGAUUUUAAUUUAUAAUUGUUUAAAUAAUGAUUCUUUUAUGUAAAGAUUUAAUUUAAAAAUGAAUGAAAGUUUGAUUUAGUGAUUGAAUUUAAUAAAGGUGAAUUUGGUGCCAGCAACAGCGGUUAGACCUAAUUUAUAAAUUAAUUUUUUAAAUUUUUGAGUUAAUGAAUUAUUUAAUUGAAUUUAAUUGAAUUUAUGAAAGGUUGGUGAAAUAUUUUUUAUGAAUGUGUUAUAUUUUAUUUAACUAAUAUUUGUUGAAUUUUUGUUUAAACUAGGAUUAGAUACCCUAUUAUAGAAAUUAUGUGAAUUGAAUUAAUUAUUAAAUGUAGAUCAUUAAAAUUAAUAAAUGUGGCGGCUUUAUAAUUUAUUUAGAGGAAUUUGUAUUUUAAUUGAUGAGCCACAAUAGGAUUGACUAUAAUUAUAUUCUUUGUAUAUUGCUGUUUGAAGAGUUUAUUUAUAUAUUAUUCUUAUAAUAUUUAAUUAAAUAUUAAUUCAAGUCAAAAUGCAGGUUAUUAUUGUUAACAUGAAUUACAAUAAAUUAGAUUUUUGGAUAAAUUAUUUUAAUAUAAUUUUGAAAUUGGAUUUAAAAGUAAAUUUAUUGAAUUAAAUUUAUUGAAGAUAAUUUUAUUUAGUGUACAAAUUGCCCGUCAUUCUCAUUAUAAGUGGGGAAAGUCGUAACAUAGUAAAUGUACUGGAAAGUGUAUUUUGUUUAAA
RNAcentral lists this non-coding RNA (768 nucleotides) under Andrena fulva. Lineage: Eukaryota; Metazoa; Arthropoda; Insecta; Hymenoptera; Andrenidae. The record is from RNAcentral.